GAGUGAAGCUCAGUGGUAGAGUGCUUGCCUAGCAUGCAAGACGCCCUGGGUUCAAUCCUCAGCAUCAUACA
This 71-nucleotide transfer RNA is filed under the name Marmota monax (woodchuck). Its description in RNAcentral is "tRNA.Ala". The stretch from base 4 to 64 matches the Rfam family "tRNA", at positions 6 to 65 of the family's 71-position model. From Rfam's summary of the family: Transfer RNA (tRNA) molecules are approximately 80 nucleotides in length. Lineage: Eukaryota; Metazoa; Chordata; Mammalia; Rodentia; Sciuridae. The record is from RNAcentral.